Oncorhynchus tshawytscha (Chinook salmon) is the source of this 2130-nucleotide long non-coding RNA. NCBI's taxonomy places the organism in Eukaryota, Metazoa, Chordata, Actinopteri, Salmoniformes, Salmonidae. The record is from Ensembl.
CAUGUUGGUCCCAUGUUUCAUGAGCUGAGAUAAAUUAAUGUUUCAUAUGCACAAAAAGUUUUGCAUUUCUCCUUUGCCAAGAUGAUAUGCCACACAUGUCUGGUGGAUGGAUUAAGAAGCUGAUUAAACAGCAUGAUCAGUACACAGGUGCACCUUGUGCUGGAGACAAUAAACGGUCACUCUAAAAUGUGCAGUUUUGUCAUCCAAUACAAUGCCACAGAUGUCUCAAGUUUUGAGGGAGUGUGCAGUUGGCAUGCUGACUGCAGGAAUGUCCACCAGAGUGAUUGCCAGAUAAUUUCAUGUUAAUUUCUCUACCAUAAGCCGCUACGUUCGACCGGCAUCACAACUGCAGACACGUGUAACCACGCCAGCCCAGGACCUCCAUAUUCUGCUUCUUCACCUGUGGGAUCGUCUGAGACCAGCCACCCGGACAGCUGAUGAAACAGGGUUUGUACAACUGAAGAAUUUCUGCACAAACUGUCUGGAGAGGUGUGCUCUUCACGGAUGAAUCCCAGUUUCAGCUGUACCGGGCAGAUGGCAGACCGCGUGUAUGGCAUCAUGUGGGUGUGCAGUCUGCUGACGUCAACAUUGUGAUCAGAAUGCCCAAUAGUGGCAGUGGGGUUAUGGUAUGGGCAGGCGUAAGCUACGGACAAGGAACGCAAUUGCAUUUUAUUGAUGGCAAUUUAAAUGUGACGAGAUCCAGAGGCCAUUCAUCCGCUGCCUUCACGUCAUGUUUCAGUAUGAUAAUGCACUGCUUCAUGUCGCAUACUCACCAGACACGUCACCCAUUGAGCAUGUUUGGGAUGCUCUGGAUCGACAUGUACAGUUCCCACCAAUAUCCAUCAACUUUGCACAGCCAUUGAAGAGGAGUGGGACAAGGUUCCACAGGCAACAAUCAAUAGCCUGUUCAACUAUCCGAAAGAGAUGUGUGACGCUGCAUGAUGUAAAUGGUGGUCACACCAGAUAAUGACUGGUUUUCUGAUCCAAGUCUUUUAUUUAAAAAGUAUUUGUGACCAACAGAUGCAUAUUUGUAUUCCCAGUCAUGUGAAAUCCAUAGAUUAGGGCCUAAUGAAUUUAUUUCAAUUGACAGAUUUUCUUUUAUGAACUGCAACUCUGUAGAAUUGAUGAAAUUGUUGCAUGUUGCAUCUUAUGUUUUCAUUCGGUGUAAUAACCAUCAUAUAGAAGUAAACUUGGAGUCACAUGAUGAUAUGUUCUUAGGUCCUCCCAUUACGACUCGAUAAAACAUGCAGUUUAUUAGGCUACAGAUAAUAUAAGUUACGGUGAAUUUCACAGGGUGGUGAAAGUGCACAUUCUCCUUACCAAUAAAUAUCUUAUUUUGGUGACAUGAUGAUUGAUGCUUGGAUGUCGUUUGACAAACAAAAAGAAUAUUGCUCUUAUUCAUAAUGAUCUCACAAUGCAUGUAGUCUACCCGCACUGUAUCUUCAAGCUGUUGGCUAGAGCAUAUGUGCCAAGACUAGAGUGGGCAAGUUUGCAAUAUAACGCAACAGUUUUUUGGACAAAACCAUCAGUAGGGUGGAAAAUGGGAUGAAAACCCAUUCUAUUUUUCAUUUGGUACAGAAUUGAAUGGCAAAAGUCAUUUUUAUGUGCACUUCAUUAUCACAGUGUUUUUGCAAUUAAUCUUUUUUUUUUAAUGAAAACCCAUCUCUGCUGGGAAAAUACGCAUAUAGUUUCCUGCAGAUUUUAGAAUAUUCUCAUGAAAAUCUGUCGCAAAAACCUAGGUAGUGGUGUGCAUGCAUGUGAUUAGUUUGUGUGUCAAGUAUUAAUGUUUCUCUUGCACUUGUUAGGUCUGUUUCAUUUGUUGAGAGCAAUGUACAUUUCUGUAUGAAAUUUGCGAUAAACAGGAAACCAGUACUAAACUGGAAGAGUUUUUGAUAAACAUGAAACCAGUUACUGAACUGGAGGGGUCUUUGAUAAACAGGAAAUAAAUUACCAAACUGGAAGGGUGUUUGAUAAACAGAAAACCAGUUACCAAACUGGAGGGGUCUUUGAUAAACAGGAAACCAGUUACCAAACUGGAAGGGUGUUUGAUAAACAGGAAACCAUUACCAAAACUGGAAGGGUCUUUUAUAAACAGGAAACCAGUUACCAAACUGGAAGGGUGUUUGAUAA